Molecule: long non-coding RNA, 761 nt
Filed under: Marmota monax (woodchuck)
Lineage: Eukaryota; Metazoa; Chordata; Mammalia; Rodentia; Sciuridae
Source: RNAcentral
CGCUGAGAGCCGAGCUGCCGCUUCUGGCCGUGGGCUUUCAGAUCUGGCUUUACCCCAGGAGGGCUCGGGUGGAGAGCGAGUGGUCUCCUGUCUCUUGCCGACCCCCUCCGGCUAGGAGCGAGCGGCGGCCUCCUAGCUGGGCGCAUUGGCGUUCGGGGGAGCUCGCUCGGGGAGCGCCGGCGGCACUCGGGCCUCUCCCUCAGCUGUCAUUUUGGCGGCUUUUCACUUCAGGAGGUUUCAGCCUCGACCAAGUUCCGGAGCCGGAUUGAAGAAUGACUCGUGCACGCGGAAUGGGUGACAGCGUCAGCACUGCACUUUAUUGGUGAGCUGCUUUGUGUUGGUCCAGGACUGGCCGUGAACUUGGCUGUGGCCUGUGUCUUUAAGCACAGACGUGCUUUGCACUACGUGGUUGACACUCCGCCGCGCUCGGGCUUCGGAGCUGUUGGCCUUAGGGACUGGUGGGGUGUACCCAAGUGAUUAAGCCCCUUUCUGCACGGACUACCUACAGGACAGACAACUCGGGGUGUCCUGGUUUGCUACCAUGAAUUUUAAAUGGUACUUACAAAUUAUCAUUUAAAUGUAGUGAUACUGCGUCCGGGCAAUGGUGCGCACACCUGUAAUCCCAGCUUUUCCGGAGGCAGAGGCCGGCCAGCUUCGGCAAUUUAGCGAGACCAAAAAACAAACAACAACAACAACAACAACGGGGGUGUAGCGCGGUGGUAGAGAUCCCUGGGUUCAAUCCCUAGUACCGCAGAAAUAAA